Molecule: small RNA, 518 nt
Filed under: uncultured Glomus
Lineage: Eukaryota; Fungi; Glomeromycota; Glomeromycetes; Glomerales; Glomeraceae
Description: SSU rRNA
Rfam family: Eukaryotic small subunit ribosomal RNA
Source: RNAcentral
AGCAGCCGCGGUAAUUCCAGCUCCAAUAGCGUAUAUUAAAGUUGUUGCAGUUAAAAAGCUCGUAGUUGAAUUUCGGGAUCAAUAUGUUGGUCGUGCCUUGGUACGUACUGGCAUUAUCGAUUCCUACCUUCUGAAGAACCUCGAUGUCAUUAAUUUGGUGUCUUGGGGAAUCAGGACUGUUACUUUGAAAAAUUAGAGUGUUUAAAGCAGGCUCGCGCUUGAAUACAUUAGCAUGGAAUAAUGAAAUAGGACGUUUGAUUCUAUUUUGUUGGUUUCUAGGAUCGACGUAAUGAUUAAUAGGGAUAGUUGGGGGCAUUAGUAUUCAAUUGUCAGAGGUGAAAUUCUUGGAUUUAUUGAAGACUAACUACUGCGAAAGCAUUUGCCAAGGAUGUUUUCAUUAAUCAAGAACGAAAGUUAGGGGAUCGAAGACGAUCAGAUACCGUCGUAGUCUUAACCAUAAACUAUGCCGACUAGGGAUCGGAUGAUGUUAAUUUUUAAUGACUCAUUCGGCGUACCCG